AACCCCUGGCUAUGCCGGGGGUUCAAAAGAGCUUCAAGCGUGGUAUUAAAAAAACCUCACUUCCAUGGUAGGAUAAAGUUGGUUUCCCGACCGCUUCAUCUCACCAAAGAAGGAGGU
Molecule: small RNA, 117 nt
Filed under: Alkalihalobacillus alcalophilus ATCC 27647 = CGMCC 1.3604
Lineage: Bacteria; Bacillati; Bacillota; Bacilli; Caryophanales; Bacillaceae
Description: Bacillus alcalophilus ATCC 27647 = CGMCC 1.3604 Hfq binding sRNA
Source: RNAcentral